CGUUUCUUGCAACACAAGGCACCCGUUAUCGUCGUUGAUUCGAAUUCAUUCCUACACCAUCUUAUGACGUCUAGACCCCCUCAGCCAUUGCCAAAAUUCGGCGAAUGGGAUGAGAAAGAUCCUGCAUCUGCUGAUGGAUUCACGGUAAUAUUCGCAAAGGCACGCGAUGAAAAGAACACCAAAGGCCCUCCCAACAAAGGCCCCCCUCCACCCCCACCACGGCCACCACCACCCGAAAAGGAGCCCACGAAGAAUAGAUUUUGCUGUUUUUGAAUAGUUAUAAGACGGCAUUGUCAACAAAAUCGUGGUAUGGUUAUUGAUGGGUUCGUCGAAGAUUCAAAUGUAUGGUGGGUGGUGUAUGAUGGCGACGCCGAAGACAACAACGAUGGUGGUGGUGGUGGUGGUAUGCCUAUAGCUUUUACCAUCCACCAUGAAUCCAUGAACUAUAGGGGGUAGUUAGAUUGU
Helianthus annuus (common sunflower) is the source of this 465-nucleotide long non-coding RNA. RefSeq lists it as uncharacterized. Lineage: Eukaryota; Viridiplantae; Streptophyta; Magnoliopsida; Asterales; Asteraceae. The transcript has 3 exons. The record is from RefSeq and is a predicted model, not a curated record.